RNAcentral lists this ribosomal RNA (476 nucleotides) under uncultured bacterium. RNAcentral describes it as "bacterial SSU rRNA". It matches the Rfam family "Bacterial small subunit ribosomal RNA", at positions 335 to 801 of the family's 1533-position model. The record is from RNAcentral.
ACUCCUACGGGAGGCAGCAGUAGGGGAAUCUUCCACAAUGGGCGCAAGCCUGAUGGAGCAACACCGCGUGAGUGAAGAAGGGUUUCGGCUCGUAAAGCUCUGUUGUUAAAGAAGAACACGUAUGAGAGUAACUGUUCAUACGUUGACGGUAUUUAACCAGAAAGUCACGGCUAACUACGUGCCAGCAGCCGCGGUAAUACGUAGGUGGCAAGCGUUAUCCGGAUUUAUUGGGCGUAAAGAGAGUGCAGGCGGUUUUCUAAGUCUGAUGUGAAAGCCUUCGGCUUAACCGGAGAAGUGCAUCGGAAACUGGAUAACUUGAAUGCAGAAGAGGGUAGUGGAACUCCAUGUGUAGCGGUGGAAUGCGUAGAUAUAUGGAAGAACACCAGUGGCGAAGGCGGCUACCUGGUCUGCAACUGACGCUGAGACUCGAAAGCAUGGGGUAGCGAACAGGGAUUAGAUACCCUGGUAGGAUAGCG